RNAcentral lists this small RNA (67 nucleotides) under Bacillus infantis NRRL B-14911. RNAcentral's name for it is "Bacillaceae-1 RNA". It matches the Rfam family "Bacillaceae-1 RNA". Lineage: Bacteria; Bacillati; Bacillota; Bacilli; Caryophanales; Bacillaceae. The record is from Rfam by way of RNAcentral.
CCUUUAGGAACGCAGACUAAGAACGCCAAGUCCUGUGGCAACGUCGGCAUGGCCAGCUUCCUGGGUG